UAGGGAAUCUUCCACAAUGGACGCAAGUCUGGUGGAGCAACGCCGCGUGAGUGAAGAAGGUCUUCGGAUCGUAAAACUCUGUUGUUAGAGAAGAACACGAGUGAGAGUAACUGUUCAUUCGAUGACGGUAUCUAACCAGCAAGUCACGGCUAACUACGUGACAG
This 164-nucleotide ribosomal RNA is filed under the name uncultured bacterium. RNAcentral's name for it is "partial 16S rRNA". It matches the Rfam family "Bacterial small subunit ribosomal RNA", at positions 355 to 511 of the family's 1533-position model. The record is from RNAcentral.